AGUGAGAAUGCCGGUAUGAGUAGCGCAAGAUGGGUGAGAAUCCCAUCCACCGUAAGACUAAGGUUUCCAGGGGAAGGCUCGUCCGCCCUGGGUUAGUCGGGACCUAAGGAGAGACCGAAAGGUGUAUCCGAUGGACAACAGGUUGAUAUUCCUGUACUAGUGUAUAUAGUGAUGGAGGGACGCAGUAGGCUAACUAAAGCGGGCGAAUGGAAGAGCCCGUCUAAGCAGUGAGGUGUGAUAUGAGUCAAAUGCUUGUAUCUGUAACAUUGAGCUGUGAUGGGGAGCGAAAUUAAGUAGCGAAGUUAGUGACGUCACACUGCCAAGAAAAGCUUCUAGCGAUAAGUAUACACUACCCGUACCGCAAACCGACACAGGUAGUCGAGGCGAGUAGCCUCAGGUGAGCGAGAGAACUCUCGUUAAGGAACUCGGCAAAAUGACCCCGUAACUUCGGGAGAAGGGGUGCUGACUUUUAGUCAGCCGCAGUGAAUAGGCCCAAGCAACUGUUUAUCAAAAACACAGCUCUCUGCUAAAUCGUAAGAUGAUGUAUAGGGGGUGACGCCUGCCCGGUGCUGGAAGGUUAAGAGGAGGGUUUAGCGUAAGCGAAGAUCUGAAUUGAAGCCCCAGUAAACGGCGGCCGUAACUAUAACGGUCCUAAGGUAGCGAAAUUCCUUGUCGGGUAAGUUCCGACCCGCACGAAAGGCGUAAUGAUUUGGGCACUGUCUCAACGAGAGACUCGGUGAGAUUUUAGUACCUGUGAAGAUGCAGGUUACCCGCGACAGGACGGAAAGACCCCAUGGAGCUUUACUGCAGUUUGAUAUUGAGUAUCUGUACCACAUGUACAGGAUAGGUAGGAGCCUAUGAAAUCGGGACGCCAGUUUCGAUUGAGGCGCUGUUGGGAUACUACCCUUGUGUUAUGGCUACUCUAACCCGGUAGGUUAAUCAUCUACGGAGACAGUGUCUGACGGGCAGUUUGACUGGGGCGGUCGCCUCCUAAAAGGUAACGGAGGCGCCCAAGGGUUCCCUCAGAAUGGUUGGAAAUCAUUCGCAGAGUGUAAAGGUAUAAGGGAGCUUGACUGCGAGAGCUACAACUCGAGCAGGGACGAAAGUCGGGCUUAGUGAUCCGGUGGUUCCGUAUGGAAGGGCCAUCGCUCAACGGAUAAAAGCUACCCUGGGGAUAACAGGCUUAUCUCCCCCAAGAGUUCACAUCGACGGGGAGGUUUGGCACCUCGAUGUCGGCUCGUCGCACCCUGGGGCUGUAGUCGGUCCCGAGGGUUGGGCUGUUCGCCCAUUAAAGCGGCACGCGAGCUGGGUUCAGAACGUCGUGAGACAGUUCGGCCCCUAUCCGUCGCGGGCGUAGGAAAUUUGAGAGGAUCUGCUCCUAGUACGAGAGGACCAGAGUGGACUUACCGCUGGUGUACCAGUUGUCUCGCCAGAGGCAUCGCUGGGUAGCUAUGUAGGGAAGGGAUAAACGCUGAAAGCAUCUAAGUGUGAAGCCCACCUCAAGAUGAGAUUUCCCAUAACAUUAAGUUAGUAAGAGCCCUGAGAGAAGAUCAGGUAGAUAGGUUGGAAGUGUAAGUGUGGCGACACAUGUAGCGGACCAAUACUAAUCGCUCGAGGACUUAUCC
This 1625-nucleotide ribosomal RNA is filed under the name metagenome. RNAcentral describes it as "bacterial LSU rRNA". It matches the Rfam family "Bacterial large subunit ribosomal RNA", at positions 1287 to 2925 of the family's 2925-position model. The record is from RNAcentral.